GGGAAGAUGGUUUAGUGGGUAAGAACGCUUGCUUUGCAAGCAUGAGGACCUGAGUUUGAAUCCUCAGUACCCA
RNAcentral lists this transfer RNA (73 nucleotides) under Mesocricetus auratus (golden hamster). It matches the Rfam family "tRNA". Rfam says of the family: Transfer RNA (tRNA) molecules are approximately 80 nucleotides in length. Their secondary structure includes four short double-helical elements and three loops (D, anti-codon, and T loops). The record is from Rfam by way of RNAcentral. Lineage: Eukaryota; Metazoa; Chordata; Mammalia; Rodentia; Cricetidae.